GACGAACGCUGGCGGCGUGCUUAACACAUGCAAGUCGAACGGAAAGGCCCUGCUUUUGUGGGGUGCUCGAGUGGCGAACGGGUGAGUAACACGUGAGUAACCUGCCCUUGACUUUGGGAUAACUUCAGGAAACUGGGGCUAAUACCGGAUAGGAGCUCCUGCUGCAUGGUGGGGGGUGGAAAGUUUCGGCGGUUGGGGAUGGACUCGCGGGUUAUCAGCUUGUUGGUGGGGUAGUGGCUUACCAAGGCUUUGACGGGUAGCCGGCCUGAGAGGGUGACCGGCCACAUUGGGACUGAGAUACGGCCCAGACUGCUACGGGAGGCAGCAGUGGGGAAUAUUGCACAAUGGGCGGAAGCCUGAUGCAGCAACGCCGCGUGCGGGAUGACGGCCUUCGGGUUGUAAACCGCUUUCGCCUGUGACGAAGCGUGAGUGACGGUAAUGGGUAAAGAAGCACCGGCUAACUACGUG
RNAcentral lists this ribosomal RNA (468 nucleotides) under uncultured bacterium. RNAcentral describes it as "partial 16S ribosomal RNA". It matches the Rfam family "Bacterial small subunit ribosomal RNA", at positions 28 to 507 of the family's 1533-position model. The record is from RNAcentral.